CCAUGGCGCCUGUUUAUCAAAAACAUGGUUUUUUGAUGUUAUAAAAAAUCUGACCUGCUCAAUGCAUAUGUAAAUAGCCGCAGUAUUUUAACUGUGCUAAGGUAGCAUAAUCAUUUGUCUUUUAAAUUAAGUCUAGAAUGAAAGGUUUGACGAAGGAAAAGCUGUCUUCUUGUUAUAUAAUGAAUUUAAUUAAUUAGUAAAAAGGCUGAUAUAAAUUUGAGGGACGAUAAGACCCUAUUAAACUUGAUUUUAUAAUUUUACUGGGGCGGUAAUUUAAGAUGAAAAUCUUAUUUGAUAAAGUAUAAUUUGUUGAUCCAAUAUGAUUGAGGAAAAGAUAAAGUUACUAUAGGGAUAACAGCUUAAUUUUUUUUUGAAGCUCAUAUUUAGAAAAAAGUUUAAGACCUCGAUGUUGAAUUAAAGUAUCUUUUUAGUGAAGCAGUUAAAAUAAGAAAGUCUGUUCGACUUUUAAAUCUUUACGUGAUCUGAGUUCAGACCGGCCAUGG
RNAcentral lists this ribosomal RNA (503 nucleotides) under Songthela hangzhouensis. RNAcentral describes it as "partial 16S ribosomal RNA". It matches the Rfam family "Bacterial large subunit ribosomal RNA", at positions 1791 to 2625 of the family's 2925-position model. Lineage: Eukaryota; Metazoa; Arthropoda; Arachnida; Araneae; Liphistiidae. The record is from RNAcentral.